AUUGAACGCUGGCGGCAUGCUUUACACAUGCAAGUCGAACGGCAGCGGGUCCUUCGGGAUGCCGGCGAGUGGCGAACGGGUGAGUAAUGCAUCGGAACGUACCGUGUAAUGGGGGAUAACGUAGCGAAAGUUACGCUAAUACCGCAUACGCCCUGAGGGGGAAAGCGGGGGAUCGCAAGACCUCGCGUUAUACGAGCGGCCGAUGUCGGAUUAGCUAGUUGGUGGGGUAAAGCCCACCAAGGCGACGAUCCGUAGCGGGUCUGAGAGGAUGAUCCGCCACACUGGGACUGAGACACGGCCCAGACUCCUACGGGAGGCAGCAGUGGGGAAUUUUGGACAAUGGGGGCAACCCUGAUCCAGCCAUGCCGCGUGCGGGAAGAAGGCC
This 385-nucleotide ribosomal RNA is filed under the name uncultured bacterium. RNAcentral describes it as "bacterial SSU rRNA". It matches the Rfam family "Bacterial small subunit ribosomal RNA", at positions 29 to 416 of the family's 1533-position model. The record is from RNAcentral.